UCCAGAGAAUUUAGCAGAGAUGCUUUAGUGCCUUCGGGAACUCUGAGACAGGUGCUGCAUGGCUGUCGUCAGCUCGUGUUGUGAAAUGUUGGGUUAAGUCCGCAACGAGCGCAACCCUUAUCCUUUGUUGCCAGCACGUAACGGUGGGAACUCAAAGGAGACUGCCGGUGAUAAACCGGAGGAAGGUGGGGAUGACGUCAAGUCAUCAUGGCCCUUACGAGUAGGGCUACACACGUGCUACAAUGGCGCAUCAAAGAGAAGCGACCUCGCGAGAGCAAGCGGACCUCAUAAAGUGCGUCGUAGUCCGGAUUGGAGUCUGCAACUCGACUCCAUGAAGUCGGAAUCGCUAGUAAUCGUAAAUCAGAAUGUUACGGUGAAUACGUUCCCGGGCCUUGUACACACCGCCCGUCACACCAUGGGAGUGGGUUGCAAAAGAAGUAGAUAGCUUAACCUUCGGGAGGGCGUUUACCACUUUGUGAUUCAUGACUGGGGUGAAGUCGUAACAAGGUAAGCGUAGUGCU
RNAcentral lists this ribosomal RNA (521 nucleotides) under uncultured bacterium. RNAcentral's name for it is "bacterial SSU rRNA". It matches the Rfam family "Bacterial small subunit ribosomal RNA", at positions 987 to 1509 of the family's 1533-position model. The record is from RNAcentral.